CUUCGUUGUCCAUGAUCCAACCGACGAACGUUUAUGUAGAGGCCCAUUUGGCAUUUGCUCCUUUAACAAAAGAAUAAUGCGUCCAUGACUGUGGUGCGGAAAACUACGUGCAAUGCAGAUUGUGAUUCGCUGUAAAAAGAGAGAGAGAGAGAAAAGCAUUGGAAAAGGCUCAAACUUUCGGUUGGCAUUUCCCAUAAAACAAUUGACCCAGUUCUUGGCUUGGCUUGGCGAGUUCGAGAGAUUGAUGGGUUGAUCGAUCAGUUUUGGAGAAUUCCCAGGAGCCCGUUGCGUUGAAUUUCCAUCGCAUGAACAGGAGCAAUCUGGGACUGAGCCUAUUAAUUUGUUUUUGGGAAGAUUGGACGUAAUUCUGUUACUCUUUAAGUUUGAUUCUCGAAGUCACUUGAAUUUUUCUGGGCAUGGCUGCUGGAGAAGCCUCUCAUGAUAAACUGGAGAAGAUACCCCGGGGAUUUGCAGUGGCUUUGUCAUCAGCAGUUCUUGAAUGGCUUCUCAUAUUUGUGCUCUUCAUAAAUGCCCUUUUCUCGUACUUGAUUACAAAAUUCGCUUGUUAUUGCGGGUUGCAAACACCUUGUCUUUUGUGCUCUAGACUUGAUCAUGUUCUAGGUGAUAAAAAGGUUGGAUUUUAUUGGGACAUGAUUUGUGGCAACCACAAGUCGGAGAUUUCAUCCUUGGUUCUCUGCCAUGCUCACAAUAAACUCGCUGAUGUUCAUGGGAUGUGUGAGAAUUGCCUUUUCUCCUUUGCUACAAUUAACAAGUCAAAUGCUGAAACAUACAGAUUGCUGGUGGGUAAAUUGGGAGAGAAUUCUAAUAUUGAAUUGGAAGAGAACAUCUUUUCUGAGGAUCAUAAUCUAUGUAGUUCAAGCAGAACGCGUUGCUCUUGCUGUAAUGAACCAUGGAUUUCAAGAGGUUAUGCCCAAAAAUUGGUGCUCACGAAAUCAAGUGGGUGUGAGUUUGUGGAUCUAGAUGUUCCUUUAUCAGGCAUUGUUGGAUCCUAUCAGUAUAGCCUGAAGAAGAAUGACGAAAGAACAUUACAAGGAGCUCCUCUCCAAAAGGAUGGUGGACUAGAUUCAUUGUCUCAUGUAGAAUACACCAAGCUCAAAAUUACUUCUGAUACCGAGUCAGAUGUCCUGUUUUCAGAUGAUGAUGAAACAGCCAUUCGGCAUCUUAAAGCAGUGUAUCUCAAAGAAGAAUCUGCAAUUGAUUGUGCUCCAAUCAAGCCUCUAAUUGCAGUACUAGGUGAUGAUGCAAAUUCAGAGAAACUUAUAGAUCUGGCUUCGUUGAAUGAACGUUCUCCAGCUUCCCAAGUGCAGUUGGAUGUUGUUGAGGCUCCUGGUGGGAACUCCGUCGCAUCUACUACUGAACAUGGCUUGGGUGAAAUUAAUUGCCAGGGUUCUGAUAAUUCUGAUACCAAUGCCGCUUCAGCUGCUCUACCUGAACUUAUUUCCUUUGAUGACAUUCCUUCUGCGGCAAAUGACACGAGCACUCCUGAGAGAGUACUAAUAGAGAGCUGUGUUACGGGAGCUGAUGAAGAUGAGAGAACAGCAGCAACAUAUUCUGAUGGAGCCAUUAAGGAAGAGACUGACCCAAUUGCAGUAAUUGACAAAGCCGAAACAAAUAUUGUAUGUACUGACCAUAUUGCACAAGCACCAAAUUUUUUGGAUCUUGGCGAUGCCUAUAAGAUAGCUGUAGGCAACAGGGGAAGGCAGUUGUCCGAUGUGCUUGCUGAGCAGUGGCUAGCCAAGGAUUCUUCCAGAGUUAGUGAAGACUUGAAGAACUUGUUCUCUCAGUUAUCUGCUGCUCGAGGGUUUGAGCAAUCUGUAAAUGAUAUUAGUCCAAAAGUGUCUACUAACAGUGAUGAAUUUAGAACGUCUGAUGCUCCUAACUCAACUGCAUUUCAGGUCCUUCAAAAGAAAAUCUCACUCGAGAGAAAUGAGUCUGGUCUUGAGUCUUUAGAUGGGAGCAUAGUCAGUGAGAUUGAAGGUGAAAGUGUGAUUGACCGAUUGAAACGUCAGAUUGAGCAUGAUAAAAAAUCCAUGAGUGCCUUGUAUAAGGAGUUGGAGGAAGAAAGAAAUGCCUCUGCAAUUGCUGCAAAUCAAGCCAUGGCCAUGAUUACUAGACUGCAGGAGGAGAAGGCAACACUCAACAUGGAAGCAUUACAGUAUCUUAGAAUGAUGGAAGAGCAGGCUGAAUAUGAUAUGGAAGCUCUGCAAAAAUCAAAUGACCUACUUGCAGAUAGGGAGAAGGACAUACAAGAUCUUGAAGCAGAGCUUGAAUUCUACAGGAAUAAGUACUCGGACGAGCCAUUGUCUGAGAAUAUUAUGGAGUCGGUUCAUUUAGAGGCCAGUAGUCCUGAAGUUACUGAAAAAGCCAAGGGAAAUGAAAUUUCUGUAGAAGAUAGUGGCCAUGAUAAAGUUGACCAUGCUGAUAGGGUCAUCGGCGAAACCGGAACAGUUGAAUUUACUGAUUCUGCAACCGAGAUUGAAGAAGAAAAAUUACGCAUUUUACUGUUUCUGAAGAAGUUGGAGAAAAAGCUUGGCCUGUCUACUAAGGACAGCAAAAAGUUUGAGUUGGCUAAUGGUGAAUAUUCUGAAAUCAAAGGUGGUGAGGUAUGUGACUUAGAGGAGCUAGACUGCAGAGCAGAGAAUUCCGAAAGCGGUGGCGCGGAAGAUAGUCGUUUAUCUGUGCCAGACGAUGUUUCUCAAUCAAAAGGUAGUUUAAGUUCCCAGGAAGGACAGGGUGCCAUGCCAGAGAAUCCAUUAUUAUUGAGCAAGAAAGAUAAGGAUUUUGUUUCCAUCGAACAAUCUUUAGUGUCGAUUUCUGAAGGGGAUGAGUUGGUUUCUCUUAGAAACGAGGUCCACUCUUUGUAUGAGAGGUUGGAAGCAUUAGAGACAGAUCGUUGUUUUCUUGAACGUACAGUUAAGUACCUCAGCGUUGGAGACAACGGGCUUCAAUUUGUUCAGGAUAUCGCUUCUCAUUUGCAACAGUUACGGAGCAUUGGGACAAGAAGUGAUCAAGCCGUCCCUUGAGAAUUGACGCUGAUGGGUUGUAAAGAGGUGAUGUUGACAGAUGUAGCUGAUUGCUUUAUAAGCACUAGAAGACUGUUCUCGUUCUGCAUUGUACAUAUGUAAGUGAGAGUAGAAUUCUGAUGACCCUAGAAGCACAAAUAUACUAUGGUCAUAGGCUGGGGAGAAACGUGUAUACAGAUUCACAGGAUGUCCGUUCACGGCAUUGCUCAAUGCAAAAGAUCUUGACACCGUACAUCGGGUUGCUCGCUUAGAUCCCCUUUCUUUUUUGCGGCUUGUUUGCGUUUUCCACGAUAGUAUAUGAAAAAUGGUGAGUCUUUGCUUAGUUGAAUCAGAGUUUGAAGAUUCUUUCUUUUCCAUUACAGAAAGAAGAGUUUUGAGUGAUUAAAUUGUACAAGAGUUGAAUUCUAUUUAGAUUCAAUAAUACGAUUCCUAUACUGGUUGACAUUGGAAAGUCAGCUAGUUAUUUUGUACACCGGUGAGAACAGUGAUUUAACCUGUAUAUUUUGUUAUUGCCUCUUGGCUCUAGAUUGAUAUGUCAUAUGCCACUAUUUUCCUUA
Molecule: RNA transcript, 3601 nt
Organism: Syzygium oleosum
Lineage: Eukaryota; Viridiplantae; Streptophyta; Magnoliopsida; Myrtales; Myrtaceae
Gene name: myosin-binding protein 1-like
Exons: 5
Source: RefSeq, a predicted model, not a curated record